UCAUUUUGGUCCACCUAUCUGAAAAAGCGUGAAGAAUAUCCGGCUGCUAACUCAGCAUAUGUGACCACAUUCACCUCUGUCUGCCUGCGAGAUUAUACUCCAUAUUGUAGAAACCUCCUGCAUUGUAUGACUACCUUCAGACUAAGAAGGAAUUGUCAAAAAGAGUACGUGUAGAAACUAGGUUGCUGGAAGGAAUACGUUUCUCAGUAGAUUGCCUUGCCCACCAGAGUGACGUGAAGAUUGGUGAUGGUCUCCCUCUCGUCCCAAAGAAAUCCUCCAUGUUCAGAGUAUUUCUCAUUGAGCACCUGCUGGCAUUGGACCAUACAGUCAGUCUAUCAAGGUGAGUAGAUGUGCUUAAGGUUUUCUUAUUUUUGUGGCAAUUGACUAAAUAUGUGAAGUUGACAGGUUGGCCCUUUUUUCAUAACAAAGUUUUCAAUUCAAGUAUAGUCUUAUCAUAUUAGUGAUCCCAGGUAUGUAGAGUGACAUGUUUAAGAGGGGAACCUCAUUUAUUGGCAAAAACAAUUAAGCAAUUUUAUGUAUUAUUUCAUCUAUACAAAGUUAAUAAAAACAAAUGCUCUGCAGAUUUUUGGUAAUUA
Molecule: long non-coding RNA, 596 nt
Filed under: Felis catus (domestic cat)
Lineage: Eukaryota; Metazoa; Chordata; Mammalia; Carnivora; Felidae
Description: lncRNA (ENSFCAG00000052788.1)
Source: RNAcentral